RNAcentral lists this long non-coding RNA (237 nucleotides) under Mytilus galloprovincialis (Mediterranean mussel). Lineage: Eukaryota; Metazoa; Mollusca; Bivalvia; Mytilida; Mytilidae. The record is from RNAcentral.
GUCGUGUAACUCAGAGUCGAGGAAAUGAUAAAUGGCAAAUGUUUGCAAUUUUCAAAAUAUAUAAAAGCUUUUGCCACAAAAUCAAAUGUACGGUCAACUAUCAAGGCACGCGCAAGAACCAAAACUUUCUGAUUUGAUUGGUUAAUGGUAUAUCGUGUUAAGUAUUUUGACCUUCAGUUGAACCAUUAUGCACAUGUUCUGUGUACAGGCAUGCAACAUCUGUUCUGAAUAUAUUUC